Molecule: non-coding RNA, 129 nt
Organism: Ochotona curzoniae (black-lipped pika)
Lineage: Eukaryota; Metazoa; Chordata; Mammalia; Lagomorpha; Ochotonidae
Product: small Cajal body-specific RNA 11
Exons: 1
Source: RefSeq, a predicted model, not a curated record
CUCUCCUGGCCUAUCUAUUUCCUGUCCUCUGUGCUCAAGGGAGGAUGGCAAGACACAAGACACCAUCCCUUUCCGUGUAGGAGGCCAUCCUAAGAAAGGGGCAGCCUUAGAUGGGCAUGAGAGGACAAU